UCCCUCUUAGCUCAGUUGGUAGAGCGCGUCACUAGUAUACUCCUCUGCAAUCAUAUAAUGACGAGGUCAGUCGUUCAAGUCGGCUAGAGGGAA
Non-coding RNA from Desarmillaria tabescens, 93 nucleotides. The record is from the annotation of a RefSeq genome assembly. Lineage: Eukaryota; Fungi; Basidiomycota; Agaricomycetes; Agaricales; Physalacriaceae.